GAUGAACGCUAGCGGCGGGCCUAAUACAUGCAAGUCGAACGGGAAAGGUGGCAACACCUUGAGAGUGGCGUACGGGUGCGUAACGCGUAUACAACCUGCCUGUUACACGGGGAUAGCCUUGCGAAAGCGAGAUUAAUACCCGAUGGUACUAUUGAGCGGCAUCGCUUGGUAGUUAAAGCUGAGGCGGUAACAGAGGGGUAUGCGUCCCAUUAGCUAGUUGGUAGUGUAACGGACUACCAAGGCGACGAUGGGUAGGGGUUCUGAGAGGAUGAUCCCCCACACUGGUACUGAGAUACGGACCAGACUCCUACGGGAGGCAGCAGUAGGGAAUAUUGGGCAAUGGACGGAAGUCUGACCCAGCCACGCCGCGUGCAGGAAGAAGGUCCUCUGGAUUGUAAACUGCUUUUCUUGGGGAAGAAAACCCUUCUGCGGAAGGAAUUGACGGUACUCAAGGAAUAAGCAGCGGCUAACUCCGUG
This 477-nucleotide ribosomal RNA is filed under the name uncultured bacterium. RNAcentral describes it as "partial 16S ribosomal RNA". It matches the Rfam family "Bacterial small subunit ribosomal RNA", at positions 28 to 507 of the family's 1533-position model. The record is from RNAcentral.